CUGGAUUAGUGGCGAACGGGUGAGUAACACGUGAGCAAUCUGCCCCUGACUCUGGGAUAACUCCGAGAAAUCGGUGCUAAUACCGGAUACGAACUGAGACCGCAUGGUCAUCGGUUGGAAAGAACUUCGGUCAGGGAUGAGCUCGCGGCCUAUCAGCUAGUUGGUGAGGUAAUGGCUCACCAAGGCGACGACGGGUAGCCGGCCUGAGAGGGUGACCGGCCACACUGGGACUGAGACACGGCCCAGACUCC
Molecule: ribosomal RNA, 251 nt
Filed under: uncultured bacterium
Lineage: Bacteria
Description: partial 16S ribosomal RNA
Rfam family: Bacterial small subunit ribosomal RNA
Source: RNAcentral